GGGCCCGUAAGUCUCGUUUACUUUCACUUUCGAUUUACCACUUCCGGGUACAUCGGCAGACUUAUUUACCGUUACGCAUAUAGGUAACCCGAAGAACUCGAGGGAUAUAGAAGUUAAAUUUGUUUCGGUCCUCUUCAGAUUUGAAGGAAUGGAUAGCACGGGUCAAAAAAUGCAGAUGUAUAGACAAGGAGGUAUAUGACAAGUAUAGAAUAUACAGUUGUUCAAUAUGGACCAUUAAUCAACUGUUUGCACUGCCUAUGAUCCUGAAAUAUCUAUACAUCAAAGAUAAAAAGGGAAAAGAUGAAGGAGGAUUUGUCCAUGAAGACCUUUAUUGCAACUACCAUCUUCCAGUUCAUUAAUUUGAGAAUGAUAUCAGAGAACACACGGUUACAGUGAAAUAUAAGUUUAAUAUAAGCCACUGAGAAUAGUCAAAUGUACUUUCCUGAAGAAGAUGAAUGACAUCCAGCACAAAAAUCUUAAUGUAUAAAGAGUAUGAUUUUAUGGUGUUUGACACUAUGAUCUUGUUAACAUGUUAAUGUCACAAUGAUAGAAACAGAGUAAAAUAUCCACAUUUCAUUGCAGUUUUAAGUAUUAAAACUAGAUACUCUAUAUAUACCAAAGCUGAUAACACACCAGAGAUAAGUUUUUUCAUGGAAUCACAGUAUAGUCAUAUGACAUUAUGGACAUUAAAUGACUAUGAAGUAAAGAUUAGCAAAAACAUUAUAUAUCAUCUACUACUAAUAUUGUGAGGUAAUCAUUGAUAAGCUCACAAAUUUGCAUUCAAAGCUUUGAUAUCAAGCUGAACAUUUUUCAAUUAGAAUAUGAUUUAUAACUCUAUGAUAAUUUGUUCAUGUUAAUUUUCAAAGUCUUUACAUUUGUAAAAGGACAUAUUCUUAUUCUUGUAUCAGUAGACAUUCACAGUGUAAAGUUACAUUGUCCAAAUAACUAAUAAUAAUUCCAAGUGCUUUCCUGAAGUUUUUGUUGCACUGGAA
Ruditapes philippinarum (Manila clam) is the source of this 992-nucleotide long non-coding RNA. RefSeq lists it as uncharacterized. NCBI's taxonomy places the organism in Eukaryota, Metazoa, Mollusca, Bivalvia, Venerida, Veneridae. The record is from RefSeq and is a predicted model, not a curated record. The transcript has 3 exons.